GAGCAGGUAUGCAAUCCAGUGAAAUAGGACGGAGGAGCCAUAAGCAAGUCACACAGCUUCUAUCCGCCAGUCCUUUCUGAAGAGUUAAAUGCAGCAGAAGGACUGUAUUGGUCUGAAACACAACGUCCCAACCUUUUGCCCUUGAAGAGAACGUCUCAAAAGUCCAAGGUCCCAGUGCAUGGAAUGGAGUCACCCGAGGUUGGUCAUCUGUCUACAGGAUGUGCCCUUGGAUAUCCCGAAGGAUCCAGGAGCCAAAAGGAAGGAACAAAGUCUUCUAUACAUCCUUGUAUUCCUCCCCCUGUGAUAUUUAUAGCUACUCAACGAGGGGCAUCCAUACUCAAGACGCAGGCUUAAAGAGAAUAAAGGCCACUUGAGAUAUACAGGAAGAGCCAAGAAUAUGCACACACCUUGACCUAUGAAGUCACAGUGAUUCACGCUGGUUACUCAAGCUGCUUGCUCACACAGCCCCUCCAGAGGAAGCCGGCCAUCACAGGCAUCCUGGAAUUAGGCUCUAGAAAGAGGACUUUUUGAGAGUCUGGAAUCUAUUUUUAUAGCAAUGAGCACAGUCACCUUUUUCACAUCAAAUGGUUCUAAAAGCCAUCAGAACGCCUAGCCAUCCACUGUUGUGCCCAGGAAGGGGCAUGGUGGCCUUGUGAGUCUGUGAAGUGCCAAGAUGAGUCAUGGAAAAAUUGAAAGGACAAGUGAAUCAGAAAUUGCUACAGUAAGUCAGCCUCACACUCUGCUUUUGAGGUACAGUGAGGAUCUGACAGGAUUCAACUGCCCACGCCCAGCCCGAUCUCUUACUAAUCAAUCCUUUGCCUCCUGAGGGCCCCUGUUCUCACUUUAAAGCAAGCAACGCCAGACUGCUGUGAUUAUUUGAGGGUAAUGGGAAGGGUUCGGCUUUUCCUGCUGCCUAGAGUUUUUGUUCUCAAAGUCUAAAGAUCACAGGAAAAAUUAAAGACCACGGUGAGGAAGCAGGAGCCAAAAAUACCUGUACCCAGCCAUGUUCUCCUUUUUUAUUCACUCCAGGACUUAGCCCAUGGGACAGUACCAGCCACAUCGAACCUCAGUCCAUCUAACCUAUAUGACCCCUCACAGACCUGCCCAGAGUUUGUUUCCAUGGUGAUUCAUCUGUGUUUCCUGUUUGCUUUUUAACACAUAGAUUCUAUACGUUUUAUCA
Mastomys coucha (southern multimammate mouse) is the source of this 1180-nucleotide long non-coding RNA. RefSeq lists it as uncharacterized. The record is from RefSeq and is a predicted model, not a curated record. The transcript is spliced from 5 exons. Lineage: Eukaryota; Metazoa; Chordata; Mammalia; Rodentia; Muridae.